This 429-nucleotide ribosomal RNA is filed under the name Acidobacteriota bacterium. Its description in RNAcentral is "Acidobacteria bacterium partial 16S ribosomal RNA". It matches the Rfam family "Bacterial small subunit ribosomal RNA", at positions 355 to 776 of the family's 1533-position model. Lineage: Bacteria; Pseudomonadati; Acidobacteriota. The record is from RNAcentral.
UGGGGAAUUUUGGACAAUGGGGGAAACCCUGAUCCAGCCAUCCCGCGUGUGCGAUGAAGGCCUUCGGGUUGUAAAGCACUUUUGGCAGGAAAGAAACGUCAUGGGUUAAUACCCCGUGAAACUGACGGUACCUGCAGAAUAAGCACCGGCUAACUACGUGCCAGCAGCCGCGGUAAUACGUAGGGUGCAAGCGUUAAUCGGAAUUACUGGGCGUAAAGCGUGCGCAGGCGGUUCGGAAAGAAAGAUGUGAAAUCCCAGAGCUCAACUUUGGAACUGCAUUUUUAACUACCGGGCUAGAGUGUGUCAGAGGGAGGUGGAAUUGCGCGUGUAGCAGUGAAAUGCGUAGAUAUGCGGAGGAACACCGAUGGCGAAGGCAGCCUCCUGGGAUAACACUGACGCUCAUGAACGAAAGCGUGGGGAGCAAACAGG